Molecule: ribosomal RNA, 492 nt
Filed under: uncultured bacterium
Lineage: Bacteria
Description: partial 16S ribosomal RNA
Rfam family: Bacterial small subunit ribosomal RNA
Source: RNAcentral
AGUGAACGCUGGCGGUAGGCCUAACACAUGCAAGUCGAACGGCAGCACAGUAAGAUCUUGCUCUUACGGGUGGCGAGUGGCGGACGGGUGAGGAAUACAUCGGAAUCUACUUUUUCGUGGGGGAUAACGUAGGAAAACUUACGCUAAUACCGCAUACGACCUACGGGUGAAAGCAGGGGAUCUUCGGACCUUGCGCGAUUGAAUGAGCCGAUGUCGGAUUAGCUAGUUGGCGGGGUAAAGGCCCACCAAGGCGACGAUCCGUAGCUGGUCUGAGAGGAUGAUCAGCCACACUGGAACUGAGGCACGGUCCAGACUCCUACGGGAGGCAGCAGUGGGGAAUAUUGGACAAUGGGCGCAAGCCUGACCCAGCAAUACCGCGUGAGUGAAGAAGGCCUUCGGGUUGUAAAGCCCUUUUGUUGGGAAAGAAAAGCAGCAGGUUAAUACCCCGCUGUUCUGACGGUACCUAAUGAAUAAGCACCGGCUAACUUCGUG